CUUCCUGAUGAUUCUAACAAAAAUUGCAAACAAAACUAUUUUUCUCUGCAGCAUGUGCAAGAUGUCUUUUGGGAAGCUAGCAGUGUGCUAAACUGAUUCUCUGACUACAAAAUAUACAUUUCAGCAAUAUCAAUUCUACUUGUUUUUCAGAGAAGAAGAGGUCUUAUGUUAUUACUUGUAUUUUGUACCUCUGGACAUAAAACCUGUACUGUAAUAACAGAUUUUUUUUAUUUGUGGUUUGAAUGAUUUAAUAAAAAUAUCCUCAAGAGAGGUUCUGAUAGAAGGCAGACAUCUAAAUAAAAAGGGAACAGAACAGCUUAUAUUUCACCUCAUAAAGGUGCAUCUAAUUAUAGUAUGAGUAGAUCAAGAGGCUCAUCCUACAGCUGCCUUCUCUCGUCUCGAGACUGUGCUGUGGAGCAGAGUAGUUGAAACCUGCUGUGGCCUUUCCAGACGCAGGCACAGCAAUGCACAUAAAAGUUUUUCAGAGAGUCAUUACAACAGUAUUUUAUGGACCAAGAAAGUGAAAGAUACACUUGAAAGAUACAGGAGGCUGCAGCUUCUUAGGUGAAUGCACCCAGGCUUUGCCCAUGUUAUUACACAACUGAUGUCCAGAUGCAUAUAUAAUGGAUUUAACAUAAUCACCAUGGGUGGAACUCCCACUGAGGUCACCUCUUAACCGAAGCAGGUGUCUGCUGAACAUAGACUGAAGUUGACAGAAAUGAUGUCUUCGUAUGCACGUAUUAAAACUAUGGGGAUUUAGCAUAACGCAAAAAUUACCAGGCUGAAAAAAAAAGCUGCUUAUGUACCAAUGAUGGGACCCCAAAUUCCUGAAUACACUUAAUAUUGGUUCAUAAUGCAUCUGUAAUUUUAGAGCUCAUGCAACAUGAUUGUAAUUCUAUCAAGUUUAUAGAUCAAAAGUUGAAAGAAAUUAAUUUUUCUUAACAUGUAUAAUUUGUGAUGGAACAAGUUUGCUUACUGCCCUGUAUUCUUUAAACAAUGAAAAUAAGUAAUGAACCCCUUAAAAAAAUCCCUUGCUAACACUAUAAUUUUGUUACUGACUUCAGUCUUAAGUUUCUCAAGUGCAUUGUACAGAGAACAACUAAGUAUACAAAAGGUAUAUUACAAUAGAAUAAAAAGCCAGCAUCAACAUGAUUUCCAACAGACUGUAAAUUCCAUCAUCUCUUCCCUGUGUUUCUUCUGCCUUAAUUUAAAAUGUGCAAAGUUAUUGCCCAUUUUCCUAUGAAACAACAUUGUCAAGAAAUAUGGAAUUACAGUCACUAUUGUAUAAAAUAUACAGGUCAGUAGUAAUGCUUCCUACCUUUGGUAGCUGUGGAUUUAUCUCCUUUCUCUGCCUGUGUAAGCCAUAUUGGGCUGUGCUGGUAAAGCUCUGCGGUUCUUUCUGCUGAUGACCCUAAUCUGUUCCACAGCUACUGGAAAUCAUGCCAUGCUGAUGACAAUACGGGUCAUCUCCUAUUAAAUCUCCUCUUGUCUAAGUACAGCACUCUGCACAGACCACAAGCAGAAAACAUACUCUGAAAUUAGCUCUCAUCUUAAGAUAAAGUUGCAGUUCUGUGAUGUUUCUUAUUACAGGACAACAUUUCGAAGGUUCAUUGAUGAAGCAGAUGAAGACAUUAAUUUCUAACUUUUGGACAUCUGGAUUCAAAGUAAAAAUAAUUUCGCAGUGUCAUCCAAGUUCCCAGCUGUCCAUUCUACAAAACCUGGCAUAAAACACUCCCCAGAGGGACCCAGGAUCUGCAGAGCAGAAUUCAGUGCAUCUCACCUCGCUCCUGGCUGCCUAAAGAUGAUAUCACUUCUCCUGUUCAUUUUUUGGCUCAACAAGGGGUGUGAAGACCACUACCUUCAGUGCAGGGGAAGAAGUAGAACGGCACAGCCAGGACCAAGGAUGCAGGCAGGCAGGCACAGGACUGUUCCCUUUCGUUGACGCAAAGGUGUUUUGGAGCACUUGAGCCCAACAACAUGAAUGGACUCCUAACGCUUUGGUCAGUCUUACCCAAGGGCAGCACAAAACUGACCCUCACCACUGCCGACACGGCGGCUGGAUGCCCGCCACGUAGGUACCCCUCCCGGUUCGGUGGGAAGCGGCUUCCACAGCCUCACCGGCUGCGCCUCCUCAGAAGCCCCUGGCUAACGGCAGGCCCCCGCCGAGGCGGCAGCGGCGUCCCCGUUCUGGCAGCCUAACUGCGCCCCGGCCACCCGGGGGGCGCCCCUCGCAGAGCGGCCCCCGAGCUGGCAGCCGGCUCGGUGCUCUGCCCACCGCGGCCCCACGCCUCGGAGUUGUGCCCCGCCACCGGCGAGCGACCCCCCCGCGGCGAGUGACCCCGGGGCGUAAGGACGCGCAGGGGGAAGGUCAAGGGAGGCGAGCGAGCACGACCGCCGGAGCAGGACCGCCGGGCCAGGGCAGACAGCCUGCAGCCGGUGAAGCCCCCUCAGCCCCCGGCCCACCCGAGGAGCGGCCGCGAUCCCCGAGACCAGCCCCAUUGCUCCCCUCACGCCUUCCCCGCGCCGCACUCACUCGAAAACGUGCUCUGAGGUCCAGAUCUUCAUGGCGGCGGCGAGAAUGGGAGCGAGGAUCGGGAGGCG
Long non-coding RNA from Strigops habroptila (Kakapo), 2601 nucleotides. RefSeq lists it as uncharacterized. NCBI's taxonomy places the organism in Eukaryota, Metazoa, Chordata, Aves, Psittaciformes, Psittacidae. The transcript has 3 exons. The record is from RefSeq and is a predicted model, not a curated record.